RNAcentral lists this long non-coding RNA (1263 nucleotides) under Pogona vitticeps (central bearded dragon). RNAcentral describes it as "lncRNA (ENSPVIG00000017109.1)". The record is from RNAcentral. Lineage: Eukaryota; Metazoa; Chordata; Lepidosauria; Squamata; Agamidae.
GGCUUUCCUCUGACCAUCACUUUUCCCUGAUCCUUAGAUCCCUGUUUAUAGAUAUUUUGGAACGAAACUGCGAGAUUCGAGGCAUAAAGAUGUUGUCAGCGAAUAUCUGCAUAUGCUUCUGGGUUUCUCAGCUCAAGAUGAAGUGGACAGAGAGGGAGUCUCUGAAACUAUCAGAGUGGUUGCCUUCUGCCACCUACCUGAGAUCCUGGGUGUGCUGAGAGAUUACGGACACUUGGUGCCAUCAAGAAAAGCUACGCAGCCGGAGGUGAUACCAGAGCGCUGUGUUGGAAAGGAACAUACCCUGACACAUCUCAGAGCAGGCUCUUUGUCAUGGCUUGUGAGUUGCAAUGCAAAAAAGGCAACGGGAUCUGUUCGGUUUCUCAGUAUGGAAGGCCAGGAAACGUCCCCUGAGACGAGGAAUGCUACGGAGAGGCAGAUUCGCACGACCUUGAUCCUGUGCUAUGGGCAAGCAGCCCUGGGCGCAAAGCCGGAGGACAUGCUGAUGCUAGUGGACUUCAUCGUAGCUGAGAUCCUUUACCAGUUCCGUGGCACCAAUAAGGUCUUCUUCCCUUUCCUUUUGGACUCCUGUUACUCAGGGACUCCCAGCUUUCUUCUUUCGUGCAAAUUUUGGCAGUGGAGACAUCAGCUUCCCACAAAACCUCCAUCCAGGCACUGAAACGGUGUAUGUGUUAGGACUGACUCAGGGUGUGANNNNNNNGAUACAGGUUGAUCUGUUGUGAUUUGCACCUAUGAAAGUUGGGUUUCCCAGGUGAAUUUGCAGAGGGUCACCAGGGGGCAGAGGCGGAGAGCUUCUCCAACAGCAGGAGCUGCCUUAACAAGGUGCUAACAAGUGGUCAUUGGCACUUCCCACUUCUCUGUUUUUUUUUUAAUUGGUCUUGCUGAUGCUAUGAAAACAGUGAAAAUCUCUUCCACCGCUGAGGUGAAACCUUUUAAAAAAUGGUUUGGAGACGGGGUACUUGAUUGAGGGGAACUGGCAAUCCUGGAAGUGCCCCUUUCCUUUGGGUAAGGUAAUCACACUGGCCGAAAGCGGGUAAAAGUGAUGUCAAAACAACUGUAGUAAAUUUAAAUCACCCCAGCAGCUGAACAAAAAAAAGGACCAUACCCUGGUCAAAAAACACAUCCACAAUAGGCUUCUCCACAUACAGCGUUAUGUUGGGUAGCCUACAAAUUCAGAGGUUCUCCCUUUUUCCCCUUAUGUGAUGGUAUUUCUCCUCCAUUUGUCGACAAAUUAUGUUGUAUUAU